GUCAAUGUAAUAUAUAUAAGGUUAUAUAUUAGUAAUUAAUAAUAAAUAAUUAAAUUAUAUUAAAA
This 65-nucleotide transfer RNA is filed under the name Epiperipatus biolleyi. Its description in RNAcentral is "tRNA-Tyr". The record is from RNAcentral. Lineage: Eukaryota; Metazoa; Onychophora; Udeonychophora; Euonychophora; Peripatidae.